UACGGAGGGAGCAAGCGUUACUCGGAAUUAUUGGGCGUAAAGGGCGCGUAGGCGAUUCGAUAAGUCUCAUGUGAAAUCCCAGGGCCUAACCCUGGAAUGGCAUGGGAUACUGUUGGAUUUGAGUUCCGGAGAGGAAGGCAGAAUUGCCGGUGUAGCGGUGAAAUGCGUAGAUAUCGGGAGGAAUACCAGUGGCGAAGGCGGCCUUCUGGACGGAUACUGACGCUGAGGCGCGAAAGCCAGGGGAGCAAACGGG
This 253-nucleotide ribosomal RNA is filed under the name uncultured bacterium. RNAcentral's name for it is "partial 16S ribosomal RNA". It matches the Rfam family "Bacterial small subunit ribosomal RNA", at positions 524 to 776 of the family's 1533-position model. The record is from RNAcentral.